Molecule: small nucleolar RNA, 107 nt
Organism: Eutrema salsugineum
Lineage: Eukaryota; Viridiplantae; Streptophyta; Magnoliopsida; Brassicales; Brassicaceae
Rfam family: Plant small nucleolar RNA R71
About the family: R71 is a member of the C/D box family of snoRNAs containing the C (UGAUGA) and D (CUGA) box motifs.
Source: Rfam
UAUCCAUGAUGUGGACAAUCUCUUUGGCAUUCCCUAAAUCUCUCCCAAGCAUCAUAAAGAUUUUCGUCUUCUUUUUCUUCAAAAGUUAUUAUCUAAUUCCUUAAAAG